RNAcentral lists this long non-coding RNA (915 nucleotides) under Malus domestica (apple). RNAcentral's name for it is "long non-coding RNA (MDOM_LNC012406)". Lineage: Eukaryota; Viridiplantae; Streptophyta; Magnoliopsida; Rosales; Rosaceae. The record is from RNAcentral.
UUAUGCCACAUUUUACUUACUUUAAAAAUAAUGCCAUGGUGGUUGAGAUUUAUAUUUGAUCAUGGCAUAUUCAUAUGCAUUUUACCUGAUCAUAAAUAUUAUGUUAUUGUGUAAUGCCAAGUCAUUCUACAGGACGCGCGUGUAAGUUCAGGUGAGUCUUUUGUGUUGUUUGGAAUGAUUGAAUUGUAUGGCAUGCCUAUAUUCAUAUAGUUCUCUCAUUAUUGCUGCACCGGUGUUAGUGCUCGCCCCGUCCUUCACGUGAUGUUCAUUUUGCACCCCACGCUCGCCUUAGAUCCAAGUAAGUGCUAGUCUUGUCGUAUAGGUCACAUUAAGCGACUCCGACUCAUAGGUGACAUGCAUAGUGCUUGUCUUCACGUGAUCGUAGCACUAGAGCAUAUAUUAUUAUUACACCUAGUCCUGUCGUACAUGUCACAUUAGGUGACUUUGACUCAUGUGUUAGCAGAGAUGGAUGAGCAAUAGGUGCAGUCGUACAUGUCAUAUUAGGUGACUCCAAUUGCGUGCUAGUAUAGAUUGUUGAACACAUGAUUAUAUUCAUAUUGUCGUUGAGAUGUUCUGUUGUGGCAUAUUCCUGAAUUUAUUGUUGGCAUGCAUUUGAUUUCAUACUUAUACUUAGUAUGAUUUUUGAAAACUAUACUUGUUUUACAGUGAGGGGUUAGUAUGUUCAGAAAACAAAUGGAUUUUAUAAACCUUUAUUUUUGUACACACUUACCUUUCUGUUUUUUUUCGUCCCUCCAGGUCCUAGAUAACUAACCUACUCUGUGGCACUCGAGGAUUACCCGGCAAUUUUGACAUAUCUCCAUUUUAACGUAGGAACUUAUCUCUAGUUGUGUAAUAAGCAAGGAAGAAAAUAUCGGUAAUAUCGGAAAUAUCGGUAGUCCGAAAACACGGAAAUAU